GGCUGGGGUCUUUGAGAAAGAAAUUCUCCCUUCUUCUAUGGUCAAGGAAGAGGAAGGUUAUCCAAUACUUGAGGCUAAAGAGUCCACUAGACUGUUUCUUCCAUGUAGUCAUUCGCUGGUUUAUUGAAGAAUUCAUUCAUUCACUAAACAACGGCUGAUCGCCUACAAAGCAUGAGGCUGAGCUUGGAGUCCACCGUGGCACAGUCCCUAACUCAGGGAAUGGACCCUCACAGCCCAGAGGGGGAAAACGAACAACAAGCGAAGACAGUUCACUCCCGAGAGGCAAGUUUUAGGAUAGAAGUAGGAGCGAGAUGCUGCAGAACCCCAGCCAGGUCUCUGGGGAAACACCUGGGGCCACACCAUCCUUCAUACCUGUAGAAUCUAACCUGGGGAGAGCCGUGAAACUCAAGACUUUUUGCAUCUUCGUUUAUUUGGAGCCCAAACUCCCCAAGCACAGUGACCUCAUAAAAGAUCCAGCCAGAGGAGGGAUGAGUGGCAUAGCUGGGCCGUGUCACUGUGUGCUCGGGAGCUCAGCUGCAGACACCAAAGGGGACCGCGUCCCCAUGGCUCGGCUCAGCCUCUCUGCUGGCCCGUGGCUCUCUUGGCCUUGCUGCCAUGGGGUUCCUUUCACUGAAAAGGUAUCUUGCUCAGCACAGGCUUGUGCCCAGCUCGCCUGCUGUCGCUUUGGCCGGGAAAGACCUCUAGCGCCUCCUGUGUGCUUGUUUAAACAGGGAACAAUGUUCUUCCGUGCUCCAGGAAAGAUACAGGGCAGGGGAAUGGCCUGGUGACAAGGAUGUCCGGGGCAGUGGGUUGAACUGUGUUCCCCCCAGAAGACAUGCUCAAGUCCUAGGCCCUGGUAUCUGGGAAUGUGACCUUAUUUAGAAUUAGGGUCUUUGCAGUAUAAUCAAGUUAAGAUGAAGUCAUACUGGGUUAAGGUCAGCUCUAAAUCCCAGAACUAGUGUCUUUACAAAAGAAAGGAGAGGGACAUUUGAAGCCAGACACAGAGAAGAAGGCCACAUGAUGACAGAGGCAGAGAGUGAGUGAUGCGUCUGCAAACCCAGUGACACUAAGGAUUGCCAGCAACUAUCCAAAGAGCAGUGAGAGGAAGGAAGGGAUUCUCCCUCACAGCCCUAAGAAGGAACUGAUCCUGCCUUGAUUUGGGGCUUCUAGUCUCCAGAACUGUGACAGAACACAUUUCUGUUGUUUUAAGCCACCAAGUUUGUAGUACUUUGCUAUGUCAGCCCUAGGAAACUAAUACACUCAGGGAAAAAAUCCUAAAUGUUGCAUAGCUUUAACUCUUAUAGUGGUCAGGCACACGCACUUUAAUGGUGCACACACCCCAUCCAAACUCCGAAUCGAUCAUUUACCAGCUAGUGUCUUUGAGUGUGUGAUUGGAGUUUCCUUAUGUGCAAAAGUAAUAAAAUGUACUUUUCAGAUAAUGUAUAUAAAGUGCCAGAAACAUAGCAAGCAUUAAGUAAAUGGUAGCGGAUGGUAGUAUGCUAGCCUCAGACUCUAUUCUCUGCAAUUACCAAGGAAGCCUUCCUCCUGCACACCCCGCUGCAUUCAGGCAGAAGCAAGCAGGGUGCUGUUGUUUCUAUAUUAUUGGGGGCUUCCGGCAGGAAGGGUGUAGCAGAUGCUCGAAGAUACCCAGAGCUACAGUCUGCAUAGAAGCAGGGUGAGGCAAAGCAGGGAGUUAACACAUCUCUGGUUAGUUGUGAAAAAGCCUCUAUUCAUUUAGGGUAGAAGGAAUCUUAAUCAAUUAUGAUGCAUUUAAUUAAAUGCUUCCUUAAUGUGCAUUUAAACAAUAUAGUGGCUGAGAUCACUGUUUGUUCUUGAGAGGGGAGUGUUUGUGUAUUCAUUUUAUCCAAAAGACACCUACAGGCUGUCAAGAAAAGAAACAAGAGGACCCCAGAAGGAGAGAGGAGACACAUCAUACCCUGGGAGGGACCUCCAAAGUGGGGUUUGGGCCAUGCAUAAAUUUUACAUGUGUAAUGGAAAAAAAUAAACCAGAUUUUAAAAAAAGAGAAUUCCAUAUUCUAUCAAGAAGCACCAAUUAUGACUGAUUAAAGAGACUUGACAUAGUCAAAUGAGCAAGAUAAAAGGAAAUGAAAAUGAAAUUAUUCUCCAAUAAAGGUAACCUACUCAGCAAGCACCGGAAAUCAAUAAGGCAGCAGAAGGAAGCAUUCCUUUUGGACAGUAGCAACCUCACUUUUUCCAGGUGAGUGGGUGUCCAGGAAGUGCCCACAGCGUUGCCUCCAAGAGAAUGAAUCACUUAUUGGGAAAAUGGCUAAAGAACUUAUUUGCCAAGACCAUGGAGACAUUUUGCCCAGGAACUGAAAAUAUGUCAUUUUCCACUGCUGCCCUCAUGUUGUCACUGGCAAGAAGACCUACUGCAGAAGCCAAGAAAAGAUUCCUGCCCCUUAAAAUGCCUUUUGGAGAACAGACCAUGGCCCAGCAUGGCUAACACACUAAGGGUGUCCCCUGCACUUAGAAGGCUCCAUGGAAAAUGCCCUCAUUUUAAAAUCCUCAACUCCACCCCUUCCAAAUAGGCAGAGCCCUUUACCUUCUUAGUAAAUGUUCAGCUACUGAGCCUCGGUUGGGCCAAGAAGCAUGUACUGAGCACUCCACACGUAGCAGAUAAGGUCUGUGGAGUGAAUGACUGUUUUGCUGAGAAAAUAAAGGGCCAAGUUCAUUCUUUAAUUUCUUUCCCUUCUCCCUCGAAGUUUUAUAUGU
Molecule: non-coding RNA, 2733 nt
Organism: Microcebus murinus (gray mouse lemur)
Lineage: Eukaryota; Metazoa; Chordata; Mammalia; Primates; Cheirogaleidae
Source: RefSeq, a predicted model, not a curated record